RNAcentral lists this ribosomal RNA (379 nucleotides) under uncultured bacterium. Its description in RNAcentral is "bacterial SSU rRNA". It matches the Rfam family "Bacterial small subunit ribosomal RNA", at positions 790 to 1167 of the family's 1533-position model. The record is from RNAcentral.
GUAGUCCACGCCCUAAACUAUGUCAACUAGGUGUUGGAAGGGUUAAACCUUUUAGUGCCGUAGCUAACGCGUGAAGUUGACCGCCUGGGGAGUACGGCCGCAAGGCUAAAACUCAAAGGAAUUGACGGGGACCCGCACAAGCGGUGGAUGAUGUGGAUUAAUUCGAUGCAACGCGAAAAACCUUACCUACCCUUGACAUGUCAGGAAGAUCUCAGAGAUGGGAUUGUGCCCGAAAGGGAACCUGAACACAGGUGCUGCAUGGCUGUCGUCAGCUCGUGUCGUGAGAUGUUGGGUUAAGUCCCGCAACGAGCGCAACCCUUGUCAUUAAUUGCCAUCAUUUAGUUGGGCACUUUAAUGAGACUGCCGGUGACAAACCGGA